This 236-nucleotide unclassified non-coding RNA is filed under the name Hevea brasiliensis (rubber tree). The record is from RNAcentral. Lineage: Eukaryota; Viridiplantae; Streptophyta; Magnoliopsida; Malpighiales; Euphorbiaceae.
GUUGUAACACAGUGUUAUUGUUUAGGUUACUACAUAGCUAAUCAUGUGAAUACACUUUUCCAAGGGGAAAAAAGUUAGCUUAAAUAUUUAGCACACGAGACCCAAAUAUGCGCACAUACAAUGAGCCACAUAAACAUUAGGGUCAUGGUUUAACCUAAUGUGCACUUGAUUCCUCCCUUAUUCAAAAUAAUACGAUUUGGCAUUCAACGGUUUCUUUUUUUUUUUUAUUGGAUAAA